Molecule: long non-coding RNA, 1170 nt
Filed under: Coturnix japonica (Japanese quail)
Lineage: Eukaryota; Metazoa; Chordata; Aves; Galliformes; Phasianidae
Description: lncRNA (ENSCJPG00005013242.1)
Source: RNAcentral
CUAAAGCCUAGACCUGCUGCUAAUAUUUAUUAUUAAGUAAAGCCACAGGACAGCAACAAGUGAUAUAAAAACACGUAACAGAGGAUAUUUACUCCUUGAUUAUAAGCUUUUAUAUACCUAAUGCAGAGAUUUGAAAUAAUCUCUUGAACAGUGAAUUUAAAGAGAGCUGCACGUUUGAUAAUUUUUUUGUUGUUGUUUUGUGUUUUUUUUUUCUUUCCAUCAAGUAGAUUGCCUGUAUUUUUCAUUCCUAUUCACCACUCCUGAAGGAUCGAAAAUACUAAUAAACGUCAUGGAAACCACUGUGAGAUCUCCAUGGUGAUAUUGGUUGUGUAUAUGCUGCAGGGAAACUGUUCUGUACACUUGGGACUGCUGGUCGAGGCUGCACACCCUGGCCCUGCCUGACACUGACUCAAGGGAACUUUAGAAAACAUCAUCCCUGUGUUCUUUGAGAGGAAAAAUGGUCUUGCCAAAUGUUGAUGUACUCCAUUAACCCACUUUGUCAGAUGAUGACUGAGGAAUUUGGGGAGGAAAGUCUGAAGUGCAUCGUGACACUGCUCAGCUUGCAGGUGUCCAAUGCAAAGAUGAGGUCAACCCUGGAGAGUGUGGCACCACUCUGCACUCACACAACAUCCAUGGGAACUGGUGAGCACCAACAAAGUGCAGAGGUAUUUCAUACUUCUCCCUAUUGUGAGCUUCUGGGCUGUUUUGUUUUGUUCUGUUUUCCUUUUAUGUUCUUUUAAUAGAUCCCUAGGCCUUUCAUCACUAAUGCAGAACUAGACAAAACAAGUGGGAAGGAUUAUAUGAAAUUUGAUCAACAGCAACAAAAGGCCAAUGUAACUGGGGGGUUACUGCUCUGCUUGUGAUGUUUAAACUUUUGUGACAAGCAGAGGCUUAAUUUACACUGGGAUUUCCUGCAUGAUUUACAAAGUAGGAGUGAAACCCCUUAUAUCCAUUCUGAUAGAUCUCCCCCCUCAUCCAUCAGUGCUGACAGUGCUAAUCUGUGAAGAAUUAGUGACCUAGAAGUUCAAGUCAGCUAUUCCCUUCGUCUGGAUAUAACACUAUUCAUGGUAACUGCAUAUUAGAGGUUCCAACAAAUGUCAGUGUGCAAUGUGAAGAAAAAUGACCGAUUGUACAUUUUUUGCAUGAGAAAGUGGUUUAGAACAAAAAGCC